Molecule: long non-coding RNA, 295 nt
Filed under: Olea europaea (common olive)
Lineage: Eukaryota; Viridiplantae; Streptophyta; Magnoliopsida; Lamiales; Oleaceae
Description: long non-coding RNA (OEUR_LNC011812)
Source: RNAcentral
UCCUAUUUACCUGAGAAAUCAGGAGACUUCUGUAGUUGUUCCAGAAAAAUGAGAAAUCGACUUCCUGGGUUUUAUUUUUGUUCCUCAUACAUCACCAGAAAAAAAACUAUGGAAUGAAAAAAUAAACACUCGUGUAUCAAGAAAUCCUCCUACGCUCAGUCGGUUACAAAAGAGUACUCCUACCGUCAUGCAAUUAUAGAAGAAUAUAUUUUCAAGAAUCAAAAUCAUAAAAUUUAAAAACUAUAACUAUAUAUUUACACAUACCUAUUAAGUGCGGGAUAAGUGAGUGAACUGG